Molecule: long non-coding RNA, 133 nt
Organism: Varanus komodoensis (Komodo dragon)
Lineage: Eukaryota; Metazoa; Chordata; Lepidosauria; Squamata; Varanidae
Exons: 3
Source: RefSeq, a predicted model, not a curated record
UAGUCCUCACUUGGCCAUGAAGCUCACUGAGUGAGCUUGGGUCAGUCAUGGACACUCACCCUAUCCUCCCUCACAGGGUUGUUGUGAGGAUAAAAUGGAGAGGAGGCACUUUGGCUCCAUGGAGGAAAGGGAG